UACGUAGGUGACCAGCGUUGUCCGGAUUUACUGGGCGUAAAGAGCGCGCAGGCGGUCGUUCAAGUCGAGUGUGAAAGCCCCCGGCUCAACUGGGGAGGGUCACUCGAUACUGAUCGACUUGAAGGCAGGAGAGGGAAGCGGAAUUCCCGGUGUAGUGGUGAAAUGCGUAGAGAUGUGGAGGAACACCGAUGGCGAAGGCAGCCUUCUGGGCCAACACUGACGCUCAUGCACGAAAGCGUGGGGAGCAAACAGG
Molecule: ribosomal RNA, 253 nt
Filed under: uncultured bacterium
Lineage: Bacteria
Description: partial 16S ribosomal RNA
Rfam family: Bacterial small subunit ribosomal RNA
Source: RNAcentral